UACGUAGGUGGCAAGCGUUGUCCGGGUUUAUUGGGUUUAAAGGGUGCGUAGGCGGCCUAUUAAGUCAGUUCUGAAAUAUCCCGGCUUAACCGGGAGGGUGGGAUUGAUACUGAUGGGCUUGAGUGGAGUCGAGGUAGGCGGAAUUGACGGUGUAGCGGUGAAAUGCUUAGAUAUCGUCAAGAACACCGAUAGUGUAGACAGCUUACUAGACUUCAACUGACGCUGAGGCACGAAAGUGUGGGGAUCAAACAGG
Molecule: ribosomal RNA, 253 nt
Filed under: uncultured bacterium
Lineage: Bacteria
Description: partial 16S ribosomal RNA
Rfam family: Bacterial small subunit ribosomal RNA
Source: RNAcentral